This is a long non-coding RNA of Hibiscus syriacus, 147 nucleotides long. RefSeq lists it as uncharacterized. NCBI's taxonomy places the organism in Eukaryota, Viridiplantae, Streptophyta, Magnoliopsida, Malvales, Malvaceae. The transcript has 2 exons. The record is from RefSeq and is a predicted model, not a curated record.
UAAAUCACCGGUUUCUUUCUCUCUGGCUGCCGUGUUUGUGGGCUAAUUCGGAGGAGUUGAGAUCUGAUGGCUUCCAGCUCGAACAAGUUAUUACAAAAGAAGCUUCUCAUCUAACAUUUUAUUGCAUGAGAAUUAUUCCUAGAUUGA